RNAcentral lists this ribosomal RNA (581 nucleotides) under uncultured bacterium. RNAcentral describes it as "bacterial SSU rRNA". It matches the Rfam family "Bacterial small subunit ribosomal RNA", at positions 331 to 929 of the family's 1533-position model. The record is from RNAcentral.
CCAGACUCCUACGGGAGGCAGCAGUGGGGAAUAUUGGACAAUGGACCAAGAGUCUGAUCCAGCAAUUCUGUGUGCACGAUGAAGUUUUUCGGAAUGUAAAGUGCUUUCAGUUGGGAAGAAAGAAAUGACGGUACCAACAGAAGAAGUGACGGCUAAAUACGUGCCAGCAGCCGCGGUAAUACGUAUGUCACAAGCGUUAUCCGGAUUUAUUGGGCGUAAAGCGCGUCUAGGUGGUUAUGUAAGUCUGAUGUGAAAAUGCAGGGCUCAACUCUGUAUUGCGUUGGAAACUGUGUAACUAGAGUACUGGAGAGGUAAGCGGAACUACAAGUGUAGAGGUGAAAUUCGUAGAUAUUUGUAGGAAUGCCGAUGGGGAAGCCAGCUUACUGGACAGAUACUGACGCUGAAGCGCGAAAGCGUGGGUAGCAAACAGGAUUAGAUACCCUGGUAGUCCACGCCGUAAACGAUGAUUACUAGGUGUUGGGGGUCGAACCUCAGCGCCCAAGCAAACGCGAUAAGUAAUCCGCCUGGGGAGUACGUACGCAAGUAUGAAACUCAAAGGAAUUGACGGGGGCCCGCACAAG